Molecule: RNA transcript, 2112 nt
Organism: Telopea speciosissima
Lineage: Eukaryota; Viridiplantae; Streptophyta; Magnoliopsida; Proteales; Proteaceae
Gene name: heat stress transcription factor A-5-like
Exons: 3
Source: RefSeq, a predicted model, not a curated record
UCAACGACCUCUCUCUCUUGCUUUACCUAACUCAGUUUCAGACAGGAAACUUGAGAAUCAAAUUAAGCUUUCUACAAGGUCCGGAUUUGCAGAAAAACAUCGAGAACGGAACGAAAACGAUCUGCUCAUCGUUUAUUUUAGAUUUGAUGGAAGGAGGGCAGACCGGUGGUGGUGGCAGCGGAGGUCCAGCUCCGUUUCUUCUGAAGACCUACGAGAUGGUCGAUGACUCGGCCACCGACGAAAUCGUGUCGUGGAGUGCUAACAAGAACAGCUUUGUCGUCUGGAACCCGCCUGAUUUCGCUGCUCGUCUCCUCCCCACUUAUUUCAAGCACAACAAUUUCUCUAGCUUCAUCAGGCAGCUCAACACCUAUGGAUUCCGGAAGAUUGACCCGGAGAAAUGGGAGUUUGCCAAUGAAGAUUUCGCUAAGGAUCAGAAGCAUCUUCUUAAGAAUAUUUACCGCAGGAAGCCUAUUCAUAGCCACAGUCAUCCUCAAGGCUCUGGAGGGGAUGCAGAAAGAGCGGCUCUUGAGGAAGAGAUUGAGAAGCUUUCACGAGAGAAGACUGCUCUUCAGGGCAAUCUUUGGAGAUUCCGACAGCAGCGAUCUGGGACGAAGGUUCAGUUGGAAGAUUUGGAGAGAAGGGUACAGGAUAUGGAACAGAGACAGGUGAGGAUGAUGACCUUCUUAGCAAAGGCUGUGGAGAAUCCAAUUUUCGUGGAGCAUCUUGUUGGAAUGGCUGGAUCCUUCAUGGACUUGUCUGCGAUAAAUAAGAGGAGAAGGUUACCUAAUCUUGAUUACUGUCAAGAAGUUCCGGAUAAUAGCCUUGUUGACGACCAUACUAGUAGUACCAAAGCUGAUAUUGGGCAUAUUUUCCACCAAGAUUUCUCUAGUAAGUUGAACCUUGAGCUGUCACCAGCUGUUUCAGAUAGUAACUUGGUUUAUCCAAGUGCACAGAGCUCCAAUGAAGAUGGGAGGAGUCCACAGAGGAAAACUUCAGAGGGAGAUGUAAGAGAUGCACAAGUCAUGAUGGAGGGUCUUUCAUUUACUCCUGAAACAUUUGAUCUUUCGGACACUGGGACAUCUUUUACAUUGAAAAAGGAUUCAACUUUGUCAAGACAAGUUAGAGAAAUUGAUACCUCAAGGCUCCAAUGCUUGCCACAUGGUUUGACUUCUGCUGAAGAAGGUGAUGGUCACAUCUCCUGCCAUUUAAAUCUAACGCUUGCUUCUUCUGCAUUGCAAAUGGAGAAUAGUCAUCAUUCCUCUAGACUUUCCCAGUUAAGUCCUGAAAUUGGUACUUCCCCUGAGUUGAGGUCUAGCGCCAAUGGUAAAGAAGCUGAUCUUAGAGUUGCUUCAAAAACAAGAGGUACCAGUAAUGAUGAUGCACCCAAGCCUUCUUCUUAUGAUGCCCCGACAGAUAAUAAAGGGCCUUUGGCUACUCAGGGCCGGGUGAAUGAUGUAUUCUGGGAACAAUUCCUAACUGAAAGGCCAGGCUCUUCUGAUACUGAGGAAGCAAGUUCGAGUUUUAGGGCAAACCCAUGUGAUGAUCAGGAAGAGAAAAUUUCUGGGCAUGGAAAAUCAUGGAGAAACAGAAAAGAUAUGGAACAGCUCACUCUCUGAGCACUCUUGUGUGGUCGAAGUCCAGUGACUGGGUUCAUAAAAUUGCUCCUCAGAUUGUGCCACCGUUGGGCUGUUGCUAUUCUUCAUUCAAGGAUUAAAGUAUAUUUACCUAUCGCAACAUAUGUUUAUCUUAGGACAGCUGCAUAAUUAUAUCCUACCACAUUUUGAUCACUAUACCAGUUUAAGAAUUGGGCUGAAGAUUGAAUUGGAGAUGGGACUGAGGAGCUCUUACCAGGUAGCAAGCAGGUUAAGCCUAAAGACCUGCCCAGUUUAUCAUAACUAUUUGUAUUUACAAGCCAUUAUACAGUUCAUAAAAAAAACCUGUAGUUGAUGAGCACAGCACUGCUUGAAAGUGAUGAAUGAUUCUUUUGUGAUAAAACUGAACUCAUUUUGGAGUUAUGAGAGAGCAAACCUUCAGGUUAUAUGCACUUGGGAUGUGUGGAGCCUCACUCUCCAGUAGGGCAUCUACUCCUAAGACUGGCUGAAGCAUAUUCCA